Gossypium raimondii (Peruvian cotton) is the source of this 107-nucleotide non-coding RNA. NCBI's taxonomy places the organism in Eukaryota, Viridiplantae, Streptophyta, Magnoliopsida, Malvales, Malvaceae. The record is from Rfam.
AACCCAUGGUGAAAAUGCUAUCUCAAUAAGUCCUUGUACCUCUCCCAUGCAUCAUAUAAAGUCUCUAAAUCGAUCUGCACAAAGGAGGAGAUAUCAUUCCUCAACUU